This 127-nucleotide non-coding RNA is filed under the name Elusimicrobiota bacterium. Its description in RNAcentral is "Elusimicrobia bacterium FMN sequence". It matches the Rfam family "FMN riboswitch aptamer (RFN element)". From Rfam's summary of the family: The RFN element is a highly conserved domain that is found frequently in the 5'-untranslated regions of prokaryotic mRNAs that encode for flavin mononucleotide (FMN) biosynthesis and transport proteins. This element is a metabolite-dependent riboswitch that directly binds FMN in the absence of proteins. In Bacillus subtilis, the riboswitch most likely controls gene expression by causing premature transcription termination within the 5' untranslated region of the ribDEAHT operon and precluding access to the ribosome-binding site of ypaA mRNA. The record is from RNAcentral. Lineage: Bacteria; Pseudomonadati; Elusimicrobiota.
UAAGUUCUUCAGGGCGGGGCGAGAUUCCCCACCGGCGGUAACCCGAAAGGGAAGCCCGCAAGCCCGCAAGGGCAGACCCGGUUAAAUUCCGGGGCCGACGGUAAAGUCCGGAUGAAAGAAGAACGCG